CCUACGGGGGGCAGCAGUGAGGAAUAUUGGUCAAUGGACGAGAGUCUGAACCAGCCAAGUAGCGUGAAGGAUGACUGCCCUAUGGGUUGUAAACUUCUUUUAUAUGGGAAUAAAAUGUUCCACGUGUGGGAUUUUGUAUGUACCAUAUGAAUAAGGAUCGGCUAACUCCGUGCCAGCAGCCGCGGUAAUACGGAGGAUCCGAGCGUUAUCCGGAUUUAUUGGGUUUAAAGGGAGCGUAGGUGGAUUGUUAAGUCAGUUGUGAAAGUUUGCGGCUCAAUCGUAAAAUUGCAGUUGAAACUGGCAGUCUUGAGUACAGUAGAGGUGGGCGGAAUUCGUGGUGUAGCGGUGAAAUGCUUAGAUAUCACGAAGAACUCCGAUUGCGAAGGCAGUUCACUGGACUGCAACUGACACUGAGGCUCGAAAGUGUGGGUAUCAAACAGGAUUAGAUACCCGAGUAGUC
Molecule: ribosomal RNA, 460 nt
Filed under: uncultured bacterium
Lineage: Bacteria
Description: partial 16S ribosomal RNA
Rfam family: Bacterial small subunit ribosomal RNA
Source: RNAcentral